CGCUGGCGGCGCGUCUUAAGCAUGCAAGUCGAACGGCAAGAGGUAGCAAUACCUCCUAGAGUGGCGGACUGGUGAGUAACACGUGGGUGACAUACCCUUCAGAUGGGGAUAGCUAUUAGAAAUAGUAGAUAAUACCGAAUACGAGCACAGGGGUUAGAGAUCUGUGAGGAAAGGAGCUAAGGCUCCGCUGAAGGAAUGGCCUGCGGCCCAUUAGCUAGUUGGUGAGGUAAGAGCCCACCAAGGCGAUGAUGGGUAUCCGGCCUUAGAGGGUGAACGGACACAUUGGGACUGAGAUACGGCCCAGACUCCUACGGGAGGCAGCAGCUAAGAAUAUUCCGCAAUGGACGAAAGUCUGACGGAGCGACGCCGCCGUGGAUGAAGAAGGCCGGAAGGUUGUAAAAUCCUUUUGAAACUGAAGAAUAAGCGUUGUAGGGAAUGACAGCGUGGUGACAGUAGGUUUUGAAUAAGCAACGGCUAAUUACGUGCCAGCCGCCGC
RNAcentral lists this ribosomal RNA (496 nucleotides) under uncultured bacterium. Its description in RNAcentral is "bacterial SSU rRNA". It matches the Rfam family "Bacterial small subunit ribosomal RNA", at positions 34 to 518 of the family's 1533-position model. The record is from RNAcentral.